Molecule: ribosomal RNA, 481 nt
Filed under: uncultured bacterium
Lineage: Bacteria
Description: partial 16S ribosomal RNA
Rfam family: Bacterial small subunit ribosomal RNA
Source: RNAcentral
GAUGAACGCUGGCGGCGUGCUUAACACAUGCAAGUCGAACGAAACACCUUAUUUGAUUUUCUUCGGAACUGAAGAUUUGGUGAUUGAGUGGCGGACGGGUGAGUAACGCGUGGGUAACCUGCCCUGUACAGGGGGAUAACAGUCAGAAAUGACUGCUAAUACCGCAUAAGACCACAGCACCGCAUGGUGCAGGGGUAAAAACUCCGGUGGUACAGGAUGUACCCGCGUCUGAUUAGCUGGUUGGUGAGGUAACGGCUCACCAAGGCGACGAUCAGUAGCCGGCUUGAGAGAGUGAACGGCCACAUUGGGACUGAGAUACGGCCCAAACUCCUACGGGAGGCAGCAGUGGGGAAUAUUGCACAAUGGGGGAAACCCUGAUGCAGCGACGCCGCGUGAGUGAAGAAGUAUUUCGGUAUGUAAAGCUCCAUCAGCAGGGAAGAAAAUGACGGUACCUGACUAAGAAGCCCCGGCUAACUACGUG